GGGAAAUUUAGCUUGGAUAUAUUCCAGCUUCUUCAGUCUUCAAAUGAAAAUCUUCCGGAGGAAUUGAGUUCAACAUCUCUUGAGCACUGUGUCCAAAAAAUUAAGCAUAUUGGAAAGGAAGAAAUAUCUUUCGUUAUUAAAGAUGCCAUAAGGAAUCAAGUAGAUGGCAUUGCUCCCAGCUCAGAUGUUUUGGUGAAACUUGCGG
RNAcentral lists this unclassified non-coding RNA (205 nucleotides) under Hevea brasiliensis (rubber tree). The record is from RNAcentral. Lineage: Eukaryota; Viridiplantae; Streptophyta; Magnoliopsida; Malpighiales; Euphorbiaceae.